Molecule: ribosomal RNA, 229 nt
Filed under: uncultured bacterium
Lineage: Bacteria
Description: partial 16S ribosomal RNA
Rfam family: Bacterial small subunit ribosomal RNA
Source: RNAcentral
GAUCCUGGCUCAGGAUGAACGCUGGCGGCGUGCCUAAUACGUGCAAGUCGAACGCUUCACUUCGGUGAAGAGUGGCGAACGGGUGAGUAAUACAUAAGUAACCUGGCAUCUACAGGGGGAUAACUGAUGGAAACGUCAGUUAAGACCGCAUAGGUGUAGAGAUCGCAUGAACUCUAUAUGAAAAGUGCUACGGGACUGGUAGAUGAUGGACUUAUGGCGCAUUAGCUUG